This 271-nucleotide ribosomal RNA is filed under the name uncultured bacterium. RNAcentral's name for it is "partial 16S ribosomal RNA". It matches the Rfam family "Bacterial small subunit ribosomal RNA", at positions 524 to 794 of the family's 1533-position model. The record is from RNAcentral.
UACGUAGGGUGCGAGCGUUAAUCGGAAUUACUGGGCGUAAAGCGUGCGCAGGUGGUUGUGUAAGUCAGAUGUGAAAUCCCCGGGCUCAACCUGGGAACUGCAUUUGAGACUGCACGGCUAGAGGAUGGCAGAGGGGGAUAGAAUUCCACGUGUAGCAGUGAAAUGCGUAGAGAUGUGGAGGAAUACCGAUGGCGAAGGCAGCCCCCUGGGCUAUUUCUGACACUCAUGCACGAAAGCGUGGGGAGCAAACAGGAUUAGAAACCCUAGUAGU